CUGAUUUUUUUCGAGAAGGCAGACAUCUUUGUAAGCUGAGCAGAUACUAAGUUGAGAAGACCACAACAGCAUUGUCAAUGGUGCAGACAUCACAGCAGCAGUAGCGAUGGAGGGGCUUCCUGUUUUCCUCAAGGAGGAGUGCUCCUGUCUCUUCAGGAAAUGCAUGGGCACAGAUGCUGUGGAGGAUUACAUGGAAGACGGAAGACGACCUCACCA
Long non-coding RNA from Sardina pilchardus (European sardine), 216 nucleotides. RefSeq lists it as uncharacterized. The transcript has 3 exons. NCBI's taxonomy places the organism in Eukaryota, Metazoa, Chordata, Actinopteri, Clupeiformes, Clupeidae. The record is from RefSeq and is a predicted model, not a curated record.